This 301-nucleotide ribosomal RNA is filed under the name uncultured bacterium. RNAcentral's name for it is "partial 16S ribosomal RNA". It matches the Rfam family "Bacterial small subunit ribosomal RNA", at positions 509 to 809 of the family's 1533-position model. The record is from RNAcentral.
CAGCCGCCGCGGGAAUACAGAGGGUGCGAGCGUUAAUCGGAUUUACUGGGCGUAAAGCGUGCGUAGGCGGCUUCUUAAGUCGGAUGUGAAAUCCCUGAGCUUAACUUAGGAAUUGCAUUCGAUACUGGGAAGCUAGAGUAUGGGAGAGGAUGGUAGAAUUCCAGGUGUAGCGGUGAAAUGCGUAGAGAUCUGGAGGAAUACCGAUGGCGAAGGCAGCCAUCUGGCCUAAUACUGACGCUGAGGUACGAAAGCAUGGGGAGCAAACAGGAUUAGAUACCCGGGUAGUCCCUGUCUCUUAUAU